Molecule: ribosomal RNA, 445 nt
Filed under: Drosophila acanthoptera
Lineage: Eukaryota; Metazoa; Arthropoda; Insecta; Diptera; Drosophilidae
Description: partial 12S ribosomal RNA
Source: RNAcentral
UAUUAUUUAAAAUGUAAAUAUAAAUACUUAAGUAGUAGUAGUUAUGUUCUUGAAACUUAAAAAUUUUGGCGGUAUUUUAGUCUAUCCAGAGGAACCUGUUUUGUAAUCGAUAAUCCACGAUGGACCUUACUUAAAUUUGUAUUAUUCAGUUUAUAUACCGUCGUUAUUAGAAUAUUUUAUAAGAAUAAUAAUAUUCAGUAAUUUUUAUAAUAAUUUAUAUCAGAUCAAGGUGUAGCUUAUAUUUAAGAAAUGAUGGGUUACAAUAAAUUUAUUUAUAUGGAUAAAAUUAUGAAAAAGUUUUUGAAAGUGGAUUUGGUAGUAAAAUUAUAAAGAUUAAUAAUUUGAUUAUAGCUCUAAAAUAUGUACAUAUCGCCCGUCGCUCUUAUUAUUUAAGGUAAGAUAAGUCGUAACAUAGUAGAUGUACUGGAAAGUGUAUCUAGAAUGA